UACGUAGGUGACAAGCGUUGUCCGGAUUUACUGGGCGUAAAGAGCGCGCAGGCGGUCGUUCAAGUCGAGUGUGAAAGCCCCCGGCUCAACUGGGGAGGGUCAUUCGAUACUGAUCGACUCGAAGGCAGGAGAGGGAAGUGGAAUUCCCGGUGUAGUGGUGAAAUGCGUAGAUAUCGGGAGGAACACCAGUGGCGAAGGCGGUUCUCUGGGCAUUACCUGACGCUGAGGAGCGAAAGUGUGGGGAGCGAACAGG
Molecule: ribosomal RNA, 253 nt
Filed under: uncultured bacterium
Lineage: Bacteria
Description: partial 16S ribosomal RNA
Rfam family: Bacterial small subunit ribosomal RNA
Source: RNAcentral